Molecule: ribosomal RNA, 253 nt
Filed under: uncultured bacterium
Lineage: Bacteria
Description: partial 16S ribosomal RNA
Rfam family: Bacterial small subunit ribosomal RNA
Source: RNAcentral
UACGGAGGGUGCAAGCGUUAUCCGGAUUUACUGGGUUUAAAGGGUGCGUAGGUGGGUUGGUAAGUCAGUGGUGAAAUACUUUCGCUUAACGAAGGAACUGCCAUUGAUACUAUCAAUCUUGAAUGUAGUGGAGGUAGGCGGAAUAUGUCAUGUAGCGGUGAAAUGCUUAGAUAUGACAUAGAACACCAAUUGCGAAGGCAGCUGGCUACACGAAUAUUGACACUGAUGCACGAAAGCGUGGGGAUCAAACAGG